UAUAAAACAAAUAGAUAAGAUUUUGCCGUUGUCUGUUCAGUUAUAGAUACACAAAAGUAACCCCCUUUUUUGUUCUUCCCUAAGGAACAGACAACGGCAAAAUCUUAUCUAUUUGUUAAAUA
Non-coding RNA from Paramuricea clavata, 122 nucleotides. NCBI's taxonomy places the organism in Eukaryota, Metazoa, Cnidaria, Anthozoa, Malacalcyonacea, Plexauridae. The record is from the annotation of a GenBank genome assembly.